GUGGAUCUGCGCUAAAGUCUGCGUUAGUCAAAACUCCAACGCCGUCGCUUUUUUCACCACAGAUGUCAACUUGGAUACGUUUGUUUUCCAAGCUCAUGGCUGAAAACAUGAGCGGUCAUUUUGUAUAGUAAUGUGUAUAUUUUACUGGUAAUCGAUCAAGAUAACUGACAGAAGUCCCGCAAAGGGAGGAAGGGGAAAAUGGACCACGAAUUUGAGGACAUGGAUUCAGAAGACCGGUGGCAGAACCUCUACCUAGAAAUACGUAACCAGUCUCAGGAAUGUCCGUUCAAAGUGGCGAAGUUUCCUGAGAACCGCAAUCGUAACAGAUACAGAGACGUCAGCCCCUUUGAUCACAGCCGAGUGAAGCUCGGGAACUCGGAGAAUGACUACAUCAACGCCAGCCUCGUGCCUGUGGAGGAAGCCCAAAGAAGCUACAUACUAACUCAGGGUCCUCUCAGAAACACUUGUGGUCACUUCUGGCUGAUGAUCUGGGAACAGAAGUCAAAAGCAGUCAUCAUGCUGAACAGAGUAAUUGAAAAAGGCUCGGAGAAAUGUGCGCAGUACUGGCCCACGCAGCAGAAACAGGAGAUGGAGUUUCAGGACACACACUUUGUUGUGAGGCUGCUAUCAGAGGACGUCAAGUCUUACUACACCACACGCUUACUGGAGCUGCAGAACACAAACACGAAAGAGAAGAGAGAAAUCUACCACUUUCAUUACACCACAUGGCCUGACUUUGGUGUCCCAGAAUCCCCGGCGUCUUUCCUCAACUUCCUGUUUAAAGUGCGUGAGUCGGGAUCGUUAGGGGCGGAUCACGGGCCGGCGGUGGUGCACUGCAGCGCAGGGAUCGGCCGAUCCGGAACCUUCUCCCUGGUCGACACCUGUCUCGUACUGAUGGACAAAAGGAAAGACCCGUCAUCUGUGGACAUUAAGAAGGUGCUGCUGGACAUGAGGAGGUUCAGGAUGGGUCUGAUUCAGACUCCUGACCAGCUCCGCUUCUCCUACAUGGCCGUGCUGGAGGGAGCCAAGUGCAUCAUGGGAGAUUCUUCAGUACAGAAACGGUGGCAGGAGCUCUCCAGAGAGGAUCAGGUGUGUGUGUCCGAGUCUCCUUCACCACCCAAAUGUCCAUCAGAGCGCUACAACGGCUCGCUGAAGCCGCGACCGGACGGAGACACGGGGGAGACGGAGGGAGCGAAAAAAAACACAAAAGACGAAAGAGAAGCAGACGGAGACACGUGCCCGGCCAACGCACGAAAGAGACAGAGAGACGAGAAGAUCUCCAUUUCUACACAGAAGACUCCUCAGAAGCAGCCGAAGCCCAGGACAAACGAGGGAGAGAAGAAGAGGAAAAGCCUGGGCUGCAUCUGCUGUACAUGAGAAUGGCGAGCUCUGACCCCUCCCCUUCUCCCUCCUCUCCUCUCUCCUGCCCCCGAGGCCGAGGCGGCGCCGCGAGCCUGGGCUCACCCAGGCCUCUGUGCACAAACCCAGGCUAGCGAGAAUGACCAGCGACACCUAACGCCUCGGCAACCAGAGCAGGGAUCCAGACCAUAAUACUCCUCUACACUGUUUACAGCAUGGACUCGAGUGAGGAGCGAGUGUGCCCUCACACACACACACACACACACACACCAGCAGAGCAGCGCUGGACUGGAGCGCACUGCCGUGGCUUCGAUCUUUUAAUGAUACUAUCUAUUUUUUUAUUUGGUUUGGAUUUCACAGACGUAGUUCUCUAUGCAUCACCGAUUUGUACCAUCCUAUUUUUUAUUAGAAGAUCACGAUUAUUUCUGAAAUACUCUAUUUUUUAUAGCAGACAACGACUCUGAAGAUUCUCGGCUCGUAUCCGAGACACGCUGCGCUUUUUUCGUGGUACUGAAGCAUUCGAGUAUUUUUGAUAAGACGACGCGCUCGCUUUCACGAGAAACGUCAUAAAAAAACGGAAGAAGCAAAAAAAGGUCUUAAAGAAUUUCCUUCAAUUUCCUUAAACAGAACGCUGCGUUGUCUGGUUUGUGUAUCAUUUGUCCUGCGUGAUCGUCUCAUGUACAUUAAUUUUUUUUUUUUAGAGAGAAUAAACGUCUCGGAAGAGUG
RNA transcript from Hemibagrus wyckioides, 2085 nucleotides. It is a transcript of the gene named protein tyrosine phosphatase non-receptor type 2b, with no coding region annotated. The transcript has 11 exons. NCBI's taxonomy places the organism in Eukaryota, Metazoa, Chordata, Actinopteri, Siluriformes, Bagridae. The record is from RefSeq and is a predicted model, not a curated record.